AGGCCAUCGUUACCGGAAAGGGACCAUUGGAAAACCUUGCCGACCACCUUGCCGAUCCAGUAAACAACAACGCCUGGGCCUUCGCCACAAACUUCGUACCUGGAAAGUGAAGUUGACACACACACAGACACAGAUGAGUGUAACGAAUUCGGAGGUGAUUACGAAUGAUGUAAAGUUAUUGUGAAUUAUUGGAAUAUUAUAUAUAAUGCCUAGUUUUAUGAAUGUAAAUGUUCCUUUUUCCGUCUCUGCAUUCGUAUUAACAAACCUGAUGAGUUAUCAGACGAUAGAUUCAUAAAUGGAUAGAAAUAAUUAACAAAGAACAAUAGCAGUAUAUUGGAACAUUGAUCUAGGAUGAAAGUACUAAAAUUGGAAACACAACUGAAUUAUCAAGUAAAAUAAGUAGAGCAAAGCAAUCAUAAAUGGAUGCAAUACGAGAGACCAAAUGUAUACCUUGUAUAUGUAUUUUCAUAUGCCUCUCGAUGAAAAUAAGAUGCUACUGAAUUUAAGCUCAAUUAUGGAGCUUGUUGUUACCUACCCACGCAAUCUGGAAUGAGGAUCGACGAAGAAGAAGAAGAGGGGAAUUAUCGAAUUAGGGCUCAAAGCUGCAUAAUUAGGCGUUGAAUGAUACGACAACGUUUUUGGGCACUGGAAAUAAUAUAUUUCAAGUAAGUCCGAUUGGGCUUUAUGGAUCGAAU
Molecule: long non-coding RNA, 695 nt
Filed under: Erythranthe guttata (spotted monkey flower)
Lineage: Eukaryota; Viridiplantae; Streptophyta; Magnoliopsida; Lamiales; Phrymaceae
Description: long non-coding RNA (EGUT_LNC002389)
Source: RNAcentral